UCAAUAAGCGGAGGAAAAGAAACCAACAGGGAUUGCCCCAGUAACGGCGAGUGAAGCGGCAAAAGCUCAAAUUUGAAAUCCUGCGGGAAUUGUAAUUUGAAGGUUUCGUGGUCUGAGUCGGCCGCGCCCAAGUCCAUUGGAACAUGGCGCCUGGGAGGGUGAGAGCCCCGUAUGGCGCACGCCGACUCUUUGCACCGCGGCUCCGACGAGUCGAGUUGUUUGGGAAUGCAGCUCUAAGUGGGUGGUAAAUUCCAUCUAAAGCUAAAUAUUGGCGAGAGACCGAUAGCGAACAAGUACAGUGAUGGAAAGAUGAAAAGCACUUUGAAAAGAGAGUGAAACAGCACGUGAAAUUGUUGAAAGGGAAGGGCUUGCAAGCAGACACGGUUUUACCGGGCCAGCGUCGAAAAGGGGGGAGGAACAAGAACUCGAGAAUGUGGCGCGCACCUUCGGGCGCGCGUGUUAUAGCUCGUGUUGACGCCUCCAUCCCUUUUCGAGGCCUGCGAUUCUAGGACGCUGGCGUAAUGGUUGCAAGCCGCCCGUCUUGAAACACGG
Molecule: ribosomal RNA, 552 nt
Filed under: Clavispora lusitaniae
Lineage: Eukaryota; Fungi; Ascomycota; Pichiomycetes; Serinales; Metschnikowiaceae
Description: eukaryotic LSU rRNA
Rfam family: Eukaryotic large subunit ribosomal RNA
Source: RNAcentral